UUUGAACUGAAUGGUGCUGUGCUGUUUUUUGAUAUAAAUUGUAUUCAUAUUUGGAGGACAUCUUUUGAUUUUUGUUCAAAUAAGGUCAGUUUUCUCUAAAUUAUAACUCACAUUCAGUACUACUUGAGUACUAGCAAUUAUACUGAUAUAAAUGAAAGAAAUGAGUAACAGUUUAUUUGCAAAAAGUAUAUAAUACAUGCAUUAUAGCAAUCAAAACAUAUUUAAAAAUAUGACUCGCAGUAAUAAACAGGGAAUGUAUUGUAUUUAUACAUGUGAGUUUGUAUGAAUGGUCAAAAUGAGUGGUGUGCACAUUGUAUGUAAAAUAUUGGUUCAUUUAGUUUCAGACGCAGUCAAUAUAAACAUCAAUUGUGUUAUUGUAUUUGGGCCAAUUUAUAUGAAUAUCUCAGUGUAAGUGGAAUUUUGGCAAUUGUAAUAACAUGUACACGUGAACAUGGUGAAAGUAAAUAGAUAAAAUAAAGUCUUGUAUAAAAAAUAAUAAUUUGUAUCAGUUAAGACACAAUUUUGUAUAUAAUGCACAAACUAUAAAAAUAAGUAUUUUUACAGAUAUUUAACCAUGCUGUUCCAAUAUUGUACAUGAUGUACUACAAUAGGUUUCAGACUUUUGUACUUCAUAUACAAUUAAGGGGAGUUUUGUAAUUCUGUUUGUAUGUGUGUUGUAUCUUAAGCUAAGGCUAAUAUAUUUAUUUUAGCUAGCUCAUUGAGUUAUGUUGCUAUAGGCUUUGCUUCAUAAGGGUAGCAUCAGUCAUUUAUAGGUCUAUAAUAAUUAUCGUUACUGUUAUUUUUGGUAAAAAUUUAACGUGAUUAGUCACAAUCAGUCAAUUUUUUUAUCGUCUAAAUGAAAGUGUACAUUUUAUCGUCAUGCAUAUAAAAAUACUGUUAACGUCAUUUGGCAAUAACUUUUACUGUUAUUCAUCAUGAAGGUACCCUCAAUACGACCCUUAACUUCAUGUGUACAUUAAUGAUUAACCCUAAAUACAAUGAUAGACAUUUUUCAGGCCAUUCUGUGGUAUGUAAUUGGUAGUCAACUUAAUAUAUUAAAUAUUAUAAGAUGUAUAAUUGAUGAUGAGUUAAUUUGUGAAGGCUUAUACAUGCUUAAUACAUAAAUUUGGAAAAAGUCCAAUACGUACAUGGAAAGUAGGAAAUAUUUGAGAACUAUGUUCGAUAUUAUCAUCUGAUAUGAACAGAGUUAUCUUUCUUUGCACUGAUUAUUUGCAUUUGCACUGAACAACAACAAAUGUGUGCUGUUUAUUGUUUAAUUUAUCUCAUGUAAUAUUAAUUAUGUAGAAGCAAUCUGAUAGUUGUGAUUUUAUACUACAUGUAUAAAACUAGUAUAUAUCUUAUCUUAUCUGAUAAAAAUCAUUGAGUUGUUUAUUUUUAUCAUACUGACAAAACUACAUAAUUUUAUAUACAGUAUAUAUUUUCAAAAAGUAUGCCUAUAUAUUGGUUAAUCCUAAUUCCUGUUUUUAUGAUUUGCAGGAAAUGAUUAAUAUUGACUGAAUGAAGAAUCUUCAAAGUUAAAUGCUUAUUAGAUUAAAGGAAAUGUGAAGAUCAGACCCAAAGUAUGACAUAAGGAGAAGCAGUUAUGAAUUUUGAAAUUGGUAUAAAGGAGAGGUUAACGAUUCAGAGAAGACUUAAAGCAAAGUUUACAGGUAGGAUAUACUCGAUUGUUUGAUUUUUUGUGUAGCCUGCAAUUUUUGUCGCAGACAGUAUGACAUUGGAUAAUGAUCCGAUGGCGCCUGUGUUAGCUAUAACUUCUUUUAAAAGCUUCAUAUUUUAGAAGGUGGAAGACCUGGAUUAGGUAUACUUUGUAUAUAGAUGCCUUAAUAUGUUACAAAAUUUUUGUCUGUCACAUGGCCAUUGUCCUUGACCUCAUUUUUAUGGUUCAGUGACUACUUGAAAAAAAAUCUGUAAUGAGAUAACUAUAUUUGGUAUGUGUGUACCUUGCAAGGUAGGCAUGCCCAUCAGACAGUUUUCACUUGACCUCGACCUCAUUUCAUGGAUCAGUGAACAAGGUUAAGUUAUGGUGGUCAAGUCCAUAUCUCAGAUACUGUAUGCAAUAGGUCUACUAUAUUUGGUGUCUUGAAUGAUGUUAAGGAGAACAUGUCCAACUGGCAGGUGUCAUCUGACCUUGACCUCAUUUUCAUGGUUCAGUGGUCAAAGUAAACUUUUUGAGUUUUGGUCUUUUUUUAUAAUACUAGAUGCAAUAGGUCUUCUUUAUUUGGUGUAUGGAAAUAUUUUAUGAUGUACAUGUCAGUCAUGCAGAUUUGAUUUGACCUUGAACUCAUUUUCACGGUUCAUUGCUCAGUGUUAAGUUUUUGUGUUUUGGUCUGUUUUUCUUAAACUGUAAGCAAUAGGUCAACUAUAUUUGUUGUAUGGAAGAAUUGUUAGCUGCACAUGUCUGCUGGCAUGUUUCAUCUAACCUUGACCUCAGUUUCAUCUUUCAUUGGUCAAUGUUUAGUUUUCUUGGUUAAUGCAAAGUUUAUGUGACAUUUUUGAUAAAGUUUUGUAUUUAGGACUAUCAACAUAAUAUCAUUGAUUAGUAAUUAUAUAUAAAGAAGGUUAGACAUUUCAGCGUGUGCACUCUUGUCAAAACAUUUAUUAGAUUCAUAAACUAUCCUGGAUUUUUACCAAACUUGGACAGAAUCUUCUUACAAUCAAGGAAUAUUUUAAUUAUUUGUUUUCUUCUCAACACGCGAUUAACAUCAAAAGUAGGCGAGACACUGGGUUCUGUGGAAACCCUUACAAAUUUAAAAAAAAAAACCUUUCAUUUUUCGAUUAGUUCCUAAUUUACAUGCAUGUUUACCCUAUAUAUGACCUCCCCUUGUUCUCCUUGUGCAUUAAUCAGUUAUCAAACUUUGUAAUUAACAAUUUGUUUGAUUUAAGGCUGAUUAAACUCCAACAAGCAGUACCCUACUUUAGAAUUUAUGAUAUGAUAUAUGUUGUUUUUACUUUUCAGUAUCUUUAGAAAAGUUCAUAACAAGCUUUUGGUAUCUUUAGAAAAGAUCAGAGCAAGCUACUAUGAUUGAAGAGGAACCACAGUGGUCAAGACUUAUCUUUAAAUAAAGUGAAUUGUUACUAGAAGUGAAGCCUCAACAGUCAUUAGGGAGCUACCAUUUGAUUUUUAUGGGGGGGGGGGGGGGGGCUAGGAUGAAUAAUUUUGUCCUGCAUUUUUUUUUAGCUGUAAUCUCUGUCCUGCCUUUUUAUUUUUCACUCUGUUCGGUCCUGCCUUUUUUUUUUUUAUAGUUUAUCCUUACUUUUUUAACGUAAAUUGUCGUCCUGACUAUUUUUUUUUUGCAAGUGUCUCAUCCUGCCUUUUUUUUUACUCAAAACUCCUGUCCUGCCUAUUUUUUUAAAAUUUCAUCCUAGCCCCCCCC
This 3395-nucleotide long non-coding RNA is filed under the name Mytilus galloprovincialis (Mediterranean mussel). The record is from RNAcentral. Lineage: Eukaryota; Metazoa; Mollusca; Bivalvia; Mytilida; Mytilidae.